Molecule: non-coding RNA, 88 nt
Organism: Hypoxylon cercidicola
Lineage: Eukaryota; Fungi; Ascomycota; Sordariomycetes; Xylariales; Hypoxylaceae
Source: the annotation of a GenBank genome assembly
AGUCUUAUGGGGCAAUGGUAGCCCGCCUAACUCGUACUUCUUUCUAUCUUGAGUACAGGCAACGCUGGUUCGAAUCCAGCUGAGACGC